UUUGUUCUUGCUCGAGACUGCUGCCCUCCCUUCUGGUCGCUGAUUGCCGUCAUUACUCCAGCCGCCGUUCGCCUCAUUCAUCAUGCGCUGCCUCCAUUGCUGUGCGCCCCCCAUUCUUCCUCUCUCUCUCUCUCUCUUCGCUCGAGACUAUUGCUCUCCCCUUUUGGUAGCCGAUUGCCGCCAUUGCUCCAACCGUUGUUCGCCUCCGACGCUGUCGCUGCCUCCAUUAUCGUGUGCCGCUGUGACCCGUUAGUUCGUUGCCGCCUCCACCUCCGGUCACCUGCUCAUUUGUCGUCGCCUCCCACUGCUUCGCUCACUGCUGUUCACCCGUCGGUCAUCGCUUCACUGUCGCCUCCGCCUCCAGUCACUCACUACUUCGCCUUCGGUCACCGCUGCUGUAAACACAGAGGUAAAAUGGCUCUGUUAAUUUGCUUAGACUCUACUAAUUUUUUGUUAUGUAAAAUAUUAUUGUUCGUAUCAUUUUUGGUUUCUGUUAAUUUUUUGCCGCCGUUGGAAUUCUCCUCCGAAUGCUUCGCCACCAGUUGCUUCGUCGUUGCCUUUGCCUACGGUCAUCGCUGCUACUAACAGUGAGCUAAUCAAACCCAAAAGUUAGGGUUCACCUUAAAACAAAUUGCAAGUCAAAAUAGCAUCUAGAAGAAAGUGACUACUACAACAUUAGGGAUGGAUUGGGUACGCGGAGAUUUAGGAGGAGUGGAACCAAAAUAUGGUGAAUUAUCUAGAAAAUGAAGUAUUUACCCACAUAUUGCCACCAUGGUUAGAGGUAUUUUUUAAUCGCUCAAAGACUGUUUUCUUUUUGACAUCCAAUGAGGAUGUUGAGAGUAGAUGAGGAUGAAGGUCCUAGUAGACAUGUGCAAAGUAAGAGAAGUUACCAACUUAUAAAAUUUGCAAAGCUAGAUGAAGUUACAAGAUCCAAACCAAUGUGAAAAUGCAGGGCAUUUUUUCCUUCAAACUUCAAUUUGAGUAUAUAUUUUUUGAGUGUUUAUGACAGGUAUGCACUUGCUGUUAUACUGUUAGUUGUAGUGCAAAUGCCAUUUACUUCGACGUAGGCACUAGCUAUAUAACAAUCUUGCCCUCAAGCUCAAGGAGAGAGUUGUGCCACAUCUUACAGACUUAUUUGUUGUAUUGGUCAUCCAAUAUGUUGUAGCAUAUAAUUAAGAUGGAGUGAAGAUUCAUUCACAUUUUAUAUGUCUAUGUUCAGACACUGAAAGACAAGCGUUGUUUGGUUAAAAAAUAAUUACUAUUAUUUCAAUCAAGCAAAAAAAUGGUACUGUUGCAAUCAUUUGUUAUAUUUGUAUUGAACUUAAUUUUUUUUUAUGAGUUUUAAGGUUCAUCCCCCAUAGUAAAGCAGUUUCCUAUUCAUAUAAUUGGGCAGUUGUAUCCUGACUGGAUGCUACUCCACUUUCUCUCGUUCAAGGUGAAAUAGCGGUAAUCGGAGGCGGAGGUGGCAACGAAGCAUAGGAUGACAGGCGGAUGAAGUAGCAUUGACUGAAGCAAUUGGAGGUGACGGCAAAGCAACAACUGACCAGAGAAGGCGGUAACGAAGCAACAAGUGGAGAAAUAGAAGUGUUAAUGGCGACGACAUCAACGGAGGAUGUGCACGAUGAUGGCUGCUAUGGCAACGUCGACGGUAGGAGUAAUCGCGACGAUUGGCAACCAGAAUGGGAGGGCAUCGUUCUCGGGCGAGGAGAGAAAGAGAGAGAGAGACGACACACGACGAUGGAGGCGGCGACAACGUCAGAGGCAAACGACAAUUGACGACUAGAAGAGAGGACAACAGUCUUGGGGUAAAAGAAAGAAAGACAUAGAGAGAGAGAG
Diospyros lotus (date-plum) is the source of this 1836-nucleotide long non-coding RNA. RefSeq lists it as uncharacterized. The record is from RefSeq and is a predicted model, not a curated record. The transcript is spliced from 6 exons. NCBI's taxonomy places the organism in Eukaryota, Viridiplantae, Streptophyta, Magnoliopsida, Ericales, Ebenaceae.